This 75-nucleotide transfer RNA is filed under the name Saccharomyces cerevisiae (brewer's yeast). RNAcentral's name for it is "tRNA sequence". It matches the Rfam family "tRNA". Rfam says of the family: Transfer RNA (tRNA) molecules are approximately 80 nucleotides in length. Their secondary structure includes four short double-helical elements and three loops (D, anti-codon, and T loops). Further hydrogen bonds mediate the characteristic L-shaped molecular structure. tRNAs have two regions of fundamental functional importance: the anti-codon, which is responsible for specific mRNA codon recognition, and the 3' end, to which the tRNAs corresponding amino acid is attached (by aminoacyl-tRNA synthetases). tRNAs cope with the degeneracy of the genetic code in two manners: having more than one tRNA (with a specific anti-codon) for a particular amino acid; and 'wobble' base-pairing, i.e. permitting non-standard base-pairing at the 3rd anti-codon position. The record is from RNAcentral. Lineage: Eukaryota; Fungi; Ascomycota; Saccharomycetes; Saccharomycetales; Saccharomycetaceae.
GCUCGUAUGGCGCAGUGGUAGCGCAGCAGAUUGCAAAUCUGUUGGUCCUUAGUUCGAUCCUGAGUGCGAGCUCCA